This 607-nucleotide ribosomal RNA is filed under the name uncultured bacterium. RNAcentral's name for it is "bacterial SSU rRNA". It matches the Rfam family "Bacterial small subunit ribosomal RNA", at positions 28 to 674 of the family's 1533-position model. The record is from RNAcentral.
GAUGAACGCUGGCGAGAUGCUUUACACAUGCAAGUCGUACGAGAGUUUUUAACUCAAGUGGCGGACGGGUGAGUAACACGUAAGAAUUUGCCUUUAGGAGGGGGAUAACAACUGGAAACGGUUGCUAAUACCCCAUAUGCUUUCGAGUGAAAUGGAUUUUUCCGCCUAGAGAGAAGCUUGCGGCUGAUUAGCUUGUUGGUGAGGUAAUGGCUCACCAAGGCGACGAUCAGUAUCUGGUUUGAGAGGAUGAUCAGACACACUGGAACUGAGACACGGUCCAGACUCCUACGGGAGGCAGCAGUGGGGAAUUUUCCGCAAUGGGCGAAAGCCUGACGGAGCCAGACCGCGUGAGGGAUGACGGCCUAUGGGUUGUAAACCUCUUUUUUCAGGGAGGAACAAAAUGACGUGUACCUGAAGAAUAAGCAUCGGCUAACUCCGUGCCAGCAGCCGCGGUAAGACGGAGGAUGCAAGUGUUAUCCGGAAUCACUGGGCGUAAAGCGUCUGUAGGUGGUUUGAUAAGUCAACUGUUAAAUCUUGAAGCUCAACUUCAAAAUCGCAGUCGAAACUAUUAGACUAGAGUAUAGUAGGGGUAAAGGGAAUUUCCAGU